RNAcentral lists this ribosomal RNA (2776 nucleotides) under Salmonella enterica subsp. enterica serovar Enteritidis. RNAcentral describes it as "partial 23S ribosomal RNA". It matches the Rfam family "Bacterial large subunit ribosomal RNA". Lineage: Bacteria; Pseudomonadati; Pseudomonadota; Gammaproteobacteria; Enterobacterales; Enterobacteriaceae. The record is from RNAcentral.
GGUUAAGCGACUAAGCGUACACGGUGGAUGCCCUGGCAGUCAGAGGCGAUGAAGGGCGUGCUAAUCUGCGAUAAGCGCCGGUAAGGUGAUAUGAACCGUUAUAACCGGCGAUACCCGAAUGGGGAAACCCAGUGUGACUCGUCACACUAUCAUUAACUGAAUCCAUAGGUUAAUGAGGCGAACCGGGGGAACUGAAACAUCUAAGUACCCCGAGGAAAAGAAAUCAACCGAGAUUCCCCCAGUAGCGGCGAGCGAACGGGGAGGAGCCCAGAGCCUGAAUCAGCAUGUGUGUUAGUGGAAGCGUCUGGAAAGGCGCGCGAUACAGGGUGACAGCCCCGUACACAAAAGCGCAUGUGCUGUGAGCUCGAUGAGUAGGGCGGGACACGUGGUAUCCUGUCUGAAUAUGGGGGGACCAUCCUCCAAGGCUAAAUACUCCUGACUGACCGAUAGUGAACCAGUACCGUGAGGGAAAGGCGAAAAGAACCCCGGCGAGGGGAGUGAAAAAGAACCUGAAACCGUGUACGUACAAGCAGUGGGAGCACCCUUUGGGUGUGACUGCGUACCUUUUGUAUAAUGGGUCAGCGACUUAUAUUCUGUAGCAAGGUUAACCGAAUAGGGGAGCCGGAGGGAAACCGAGUCUUAAUUGGGCGUUAAGUUGCAGGGUAUAGACCCGAAACCCGGUGAUCUAGCCAUGGGCAGGUUGAAGGUUGGGUAACACUAACUGGAGGACCGAACCGACUAAUGUUGAAAAAUUAGCGGAUGACCUGUGGCUGGGGGUGAAAGGCCAAUCAAACCGGGAGAUAGCUGGUUCUCCCCGAAAGCUAUUUAGGUAGCGCCUCGUGAAUUCAUCUCCGGGGGUAGAGCACUGUUUCGGCUAGGGGGCCAUCCCGGCUUACCAACCCGAUGCAAACUGCGAAUACCGGAGAAUGUUAUCACGGGAGACACACGGCGGGUGCUAACGUCCGUCGUGAAGAGGGAAACAACCCAGACCGCCAGCUAAGGUCCCAAAGUCAUGGUUAAGUGGGAAACGAUGUGGGAAGGCCCAGACAGCCAGGAUGUUGGCUUAGAAGCAGCCAUCAUUUAAAGAAAGCGUAAUAGCUCACUGGUCGAGUCGGCCUGCGCGGAAGAUGUAACGGGGCUAAACCAUGCACCGAAGCUGCGGCAGCGACACUGUGUGUUGUUGGGUAGGGGAGCGUUCUGUAAGCCUGCGAAGGUGGCCUGUGAGGGUUGCUGGAGGUAUCAGAAGUGCGAAUGCUGACAUAAGUAACGAUAAAGCGGGUGAAAAGCCCGCUCGCCGGAAGACCAAGGGUUCCUGUCCAACGUUAAUCGGGGCAGGGUGAGUCGACCCCUAAGGCGAGGCCGAAAGGCGUAGUCGAUGGGAAACGGGUUAAUAUUCCCGUACUUGGUGUUACUGCGAAGGGGGGACGGAGAAGGCUAUGUUGGCCGGGCGACGGUUGUCCCGGUUUAAGCGUGUAGGUGUGUGUUCCAGGUAAAUCCGGUUCACUUUAACACUGAGGCGUGACGACGAGGCACUACGGUGCUGAAGCAACAAAUGCCCUGCUUCCAGGAAAAGCCUCUAAGCAUCAGGUAACAUCAAAUCGUACCCCAAACCGACACAGGUGGUCAGGUAGAGAAUACCAAGGCGCUUGAGAGAACUCGGGUGAAGGAACUAGGCAAAAUGGUGCCGUAACUUCGGGAGAAGGCACGCUGACACGUAGGUGAAGUGAUUUACUCAUGGAGCUGAAGUCAGUCGAAGAUACCAGCUGGCUGCAACUGUUUAUUAAAAACACAGCACUGUGCAAACACGAAAGUGGACGUAUACGGUGUGACGCCUGCCCGGUGCCGGAAGGUUAAUUGAUGGGGUCAGCGCAAGCGAAGCUCCUGAUCGAAGCCCCGGUAAACGGCGGCCGUAACUAUAACGGUCCUAAGGUAGCGAAAUUCCUUGUCGGGUAAGUUCCGACCUGCACGAAUGGCGUAAUGAUGGCCAGGCUGUCUCCACCCGAGACUCAGUGAAAUUGAACUCGCUGUGAAGAUGCAGUGUACCCGCGGCAAGACGGAAAGACCCCGUGAACCUUUACUAUAGCUUGACACUGAACAUUGAGCCUUGAUGUGUAGGAUAGGUGGGAGGCUUUGAAGUGUGGACGCCAGUCUGCAUGGAGCCGACCUUGAAAUACCACCCUUUAAUGUUUGAUGUUCUAACGUGGACCCGUUACCCGGGUUGCGGACAGUGUCUGGUGGGUAGUUUGACUGGGGCGGUCUCCUCCUAAAGAGUAACGGAGGAGCACGAAGGUUGGCUAAUCCUGGUCGGACAUCAGGAGGUUAGUGCAAUGGCAUAAGCCAGCUUGACUGCGAGCGUGACGGCGCGAGCAGGUGCGAAAGCAGGUCAUAGUGAUCCGGUGGUUCUGAAUGGAAGGGCCAUCGCUCAACGGAUAAAAGGUACUCCGGGGAUAACAGGCUGAUACCGCCCAAGAGUUCAUAUCGACGGCGGUGUUUGGCACCUCGAUGUCGGCUCAUCACAUCCUGGGGCUGAAGUAGGUCCCAAGGGUAUGGCUGUUCGCCAUUUAAAGUGGUACGCGAGCUGGGUUUAGAACGUCGUGAGACAGUUCGGUCCCUAUCUGCCGUGGGCGCUGGAGAACUGAGGGGGGCUGCUCCUAGUACGAGAGGACCGGAGUGGACGCAUCACUGGUGUUCGGGUUGUCAUGCCAAUGGCACUGCCCGGUAGCUAAAUGCGGAAGAGAUAAGUGCUGAAAGCAUCUAAGCACGAAACUUGCCCCGA